Molecule: ribosomal RNA, 254 nt
Filed under: uncultured bacterium
Lineage: Bacteria
Description: partial 16S ribosomal RNA
Rfam family: Bacterial small subunit ribosomal RNA
Source: RNAcentral
UACGUAGGGCGCAAGGCGUUAUCCGGAAUUAUUGGGCGUAAAGAGCUCGUAGGCGGUUUGUCGCGUCUGCCGUGAAAGUCCGGGGCUCAACUCCGGAUCUGCGGUGGGUACGGGCAGACUAGAGUGAUGUAGGGGAGACUGGAAUUCCUGGUGUAGCGGUGAAAUGCGCAGAUAUCAGGAGGAACACCGAUGGCGAAGGCAGGUCUCUGGGCAUUAACUGACGCUGAGGAGCGAAAGCAUGGGGAGCGAACAGG